RNAcentral lists this ribosomal RNA (344 nucleotides) under uncultured bacterium. Its description in RNAcentral is "bacterial SSU rRNA". It matches the Rfam family "Bacterial small subunit ribosomal RNA", at positions 32 to 355 of the family's 1533-position model. The record is from RNAcentral.
AAUCAACGCUGGCGGCGUGCCUCAGACAUGCAAGUCGAACGCGAAAGUUUCCUUCGGGAAGCGAGUAGAGUGGCGUCCGGGUGAGUAACACGUAGGUAAUCUACCUUUGGGUGGGGAAUAACAACCGGAAACGGUUGCUAAUACCGCAUAAUGCAGCGGCACCACAUGGUGACAGUUGUUAAAGCGGGGGGAUCGCAAGACCUCGCGCCUAAAGAGGAGCCUGCGGCGGAUUAGCUAGNGGUAAGGUAACGGCUUACCAAGGCAACGAUCCGUAGCCGGCCUGAGAGGGGCGGUCGGCCACACUGACAUGAAAUACGGGUCAGACUCCUACGGGAGGCAGCAGU